Long non-coding RNA from Asparagus officinalis (garden asparagus), 1082 nucleotides. RefSeq lists it as uncharacterized. Lineage: Eukaryota; Viridiplantae; Streptophyta; Magnoliopsida; Asparagales; Asparagaceae. The transcript is spliced from 2 exons. The record is from RefSeq and is a predicted model, not a curated record.
GUGGUUGAUAUUCUACUGUUUGAUAUGUGAGAUCAGCGUUCUUUUCAUAUCUGAUUUUUGCACUGUCGGUUCUGUAUUCGAGAAUCAUGUCCCCGCUAAAGGGCUUGAAGCUGAUAUGAUAUCUACUACUACUAUUGGUUAGUGUUGGACUUUCGGUUUGGGAGAGGUGCUUUGGUACUGUUGAACCUUCUAUUCUGCUAAUAUCUGAGGGAUGUAUCACUUGCUUGGUCUGGUCUAUGUUGAGGGUGGUAUCUUAUUAUGUCAACGGGGGUUCGACAGCCAUUAUUAUGUCAACUGGGCUUAGACAGCCAUUGGAAGUUCAUUCUGGUAUAUUAAGGUCACGCCCCUCUUAAUUUUUAAUAAAUGGAAAAACAAAUUUAUGUGGUCGAAGGGCAUAAAGACAUUCAUGAUUAAGUUGCACAAGAUUCCGUUCGAAAUUAUUCUCUUGUGCUUCUAUAAGACAAUUCAUGAUUAAGUUGGACAAGAAUCAAUUAGAAAUUAUUCUCUUAUCUUGUGCUUACAGAAGCAUAUGCCUUACUAAAGGGAGAAAUUUAGAAGGGUGAAGAGCAUGGAGACUGUCAUAGUUUAGCAGCAUGGGAAAUCCGUUCUGGUAGACAGCUACUAGGGUUAUAUCCUUGAGUUGUGGAAUUAGAAAUCAGAAGAAUUAAAAUCAUCAUGUACAGCAGUAGUCCAGGUGGACCAUUCAAUUGAGGGUGUCAAGUUUCUACAUGAAGAAUUAAAAUCAUCAUGUACAGCAGUAGUCCAGGUGGACCAUUCAAUUGAGGGUGUCAAGUUUCUACAUGAAGAAUUAAAAUCAUCAUGUACAGCAGUAGUCCAGGUGGACCAUUCAGUUGAGGGUGUCAAGAUUCUACAUGUUAAGUUUUCCCAUGUAGCGACAUUAUGUGGUGACUUCAGUGAGUUUUUUGUGAACUUUUAUGUAGACUUGGCAUCAGGUUGAUGUCCAUUUGUAAUGCAACAUUUAAACAUAUGAUUGUGAAAGUCUAUUUUUCAUUCAACAUUCAUGGGUUAUUUGGCAUUAUCUUUGUAUUUUCCCUUGUUUUCUGCAGAGUUCACUUUUUCUA